This 98-nucleotide signal recognition particle RNA is filed under the name Deltaproteobacteria bacterium. RNAcentral describes it as "signal recognition particle sRNA small type". It matches the Rfam family "Bacterial small signal recognition particle RNA". Rfam says of the family: The signal recognition particle (SRP) is a universally conserved ribonucleoprotein involved in the co-translational targeting of proteins to membranes. The record is from RNAcentral. Lineage: Bacteria; Pseudomonadati; Myxococcota; Myxococcia.
GAGUGGAACUCACGUGACAGACGCUUAUGAACCCCGUCAGGUCCGGGAGGAAGCAGCGGUAAAUAAGGCAGUCUGUGUCUUGAGCAAUUCUACUUCUU